AUUGAACGCUGGCGGCAGGCCUAACACAUGCAAGUCGAACGAGUGGCGGACGGGUGCGUAAUGUCUGGGAACCAGCCCGAGGGAGGGGGAUAACUACUGGAAACGGUAGCUAAUACCGCAUACCAUCGGAUGUGCCCAGAUGGGAUUAGCUAGUAGGUGGGGUAAUGGGUCACCUAGGAGACAAUCCCUAGCUGGGCUGAGGGGAUGACCAGCGACACUGGAACUGUGCCACGUUCCAGACUCCUACGGUAGGCAGCAGGGGGGAAUAUUGCACAAUGGGCGCAAUCCUGACGCAGCCAUGCCGCGUGUAUGAAGAAGUCCUUCGGGUUGUAAAGUACUUUCAUCGAGGAUGCGUUACUCGCAGAAGAAGCACCGGCUAACUCCGUGCCAGCAGCCGCGGUAAUUC
This 406-nucleotide ribosomal RNA is filed under the name uncultured bacterium. Its description in RNAcentral is "partial 16S ribosomal RNA". It matches the Rfam family "Bacterial small subunit ribosomal RNA", at positions 30 to 526 of the family's 1533-position model. The record is from RNAcentral.